This 1421-nucleotide long non-coding RNA is filed under the name Sus scrofa (pig). Its description in RNAcentral is "lncRNA (ENSSSCG00070003185.1)". The record is from RNAcentral. Lineage: Eukaryota; Metazoa; Chordata; Mammalia; Artiodactyla; Suidae.
GCAACCUACACCUCAGCUCACGGCAAUGCCGGAUCCUUAACCCACUGAGCAAGGCCAGGGAUCGAACCCGCAACCUCAUGGUUCCUGGUCGGAUUCGUUAACCACUGCGCCACGACGGGAACUCCAAAGAAGCCUGAAUGUUUUUUAAAUGAACGUGGACUUGGGAGGUCUUCCAUGAAAAGCUGGUGCCUUUUCCACAGGUGUCUUUGCUGUCUUCUUUUGGGGAAACGGACUCAACUCUGCCUUCUGUCUGUGUGCCUGCGGUCCGCAACCACAGGAAGACCUGUGGCCACAGUGCAGAGGAUGCUGUGACACUCACAGUGUUUUCUUUUCUCUCAUCACAGGUGGACGGGAUGGACGAUGAAAGCCUAUGUUUCAUGGAGAGUCUGAGUGACAGCAACCAUGAUGAAAGUGAUACAGGUAAGAACAGCUCUCAGGUAGGAGCCAAUGGGAGAGGGAUCCCGGGACACUUGGGUGACGCCUGCUGCUUGGAGUGUGGGGCAGGUGAGUCUGAAACUUAAAAACAGAAAGAAAUUGAUGUAAAGAUGUUCACCGCCUACUUUAAUAAGGAGAGGGAGCAGAUAUGAGAUGCCUGAAUGUUGGCAUCUGUGCUCACCUUGUGUGGAAGGGUCUCAGUCCAUGGAGCAGAGGGAAGGUCUGGGCACCUGGAGGAAAAACCAGGGUGAUGCUCUGUACCCGUAGUCACCUCAGGGAAGCCGGAGAAACGGGAGGGCCACUCUUUCUAACUCCUUGAUUCCCCUGAUGGUGUGUUUCUACAGACUCAGUGGUGGAGAGCCUGAGCAGCCGCCAGGAUGAGGAGGCUGCAGCAACCCUCGAUGAUGUUGUGGAGGCCGGCGGGAGUGAGAAGACGGAGGAAGAGGCCCUGGCUGGGGCAAAUGAGGAGGAGGUGGGGCCGGGAACUGAGAAGGUGCAGGAGGAGGCUGCCUGCAUUGACGAGGCAGAGGAGGAGGCAGGCCCAUCCCUUGAAAAUGACGAGGAGUCCCCAGCCAGCGACCUGGUUGAGCAGGAAGACCAGCUUGCCCCCAAGGUGGACGGGAUGGACGAUGAAAGCCUAUGUUUCAUGGAGAGUCUGAGUGACAGCAACCAUGAUGAAAGUGAUACAGACUCCUCUGGGACACCUUGAAGCCUCAGCCUGGGACUGGAAGAGUCCAAAAGUUUCCAUCUUGACCAGGAUACAAGAUUGACCUCACUCUUCAUCUAUUACGAGCCAACUUUAGUAUAAGCUUAGUUCUUUAUUGUCUAGAUUUAGUAUUAAGUUCUGAUACAUGUUUACUACUUGGUAUAUAAGAUUUUGGUAGAAUGUAAGAUUGUGUAUUAAAUAAUUGUUACCUAUCCAUUUGCUUUUUUUAAAACUAGUUUUCGAUAAAAUAAACACAGGUAUAGGAAAGCCCCCUUAAGCA